ACAAGUCUCCAGUUCUACUCUGGUCCCUCCAAAAGCCAGUAGGUCUCCAUCUCGCCCUUGCCCUUGACCUUGACAAAUCCCCGCGCUUCAACCUUAUAGCCCACCUUUUGCACCUUCAGCGCAGUAUAGUUGGACAGCUGGAUCAUCCAGGGAUCGCUGCUGCUCUCCAUUCGCGAGGCGGUGUUAACGGUGUCUCCAAAGAGACAGUAUCGAGGAACCUUCAUCCCAACCACGCCGGCGACGACGGGUCCCGAGUUAAUGCCCACCCGUAUAGCCACCCCGGGAAGAGCAUGGGCUUUGACCUUCUUCAUCACCCUUAAGGCCAAAUCGCAGGCGUGUUCGGCAUGCAGGGGAUUCACAUCAGGAGCACCCGAAACAGCCAUGUAAACCAUGCCCACGGUCUCCACUUUGUAAACAAACGGGGAAAUGAUCUCUUCGUCCAAUGCCGAAAACACUUUGUUUAAGGUGGUCACCGCCUGCAUGGCAUCCUGGAUGUUGUUGGACCCACUGUCAUAGAUAUUCAUUACCUCGAUGAAAAUGACGGAUACCUCCUCGAAACUCUGACACACGUGCUCCUCGCUCUUUCUCAUUCGCUCGGCAAUGGGUCGCGGUAUCAUGGAAUACAGUAGCUCAUCUCCCUGCCGCUUCCAGGAAUCUGCCAGUUCCAGCGACUUUUCCAGCUCAUCCGAUCGCUGCUCCUCCUUCUCAAACAUUAUCUCCAGCUUGGAGCAGUGCUGCCAUCCCGCCAUCACAAGCUCUCUACUCAGUCCAUGCGGAUUAAGAUCGUUCAAAUAGAGACCGAUUCCAUGCAGCUCAUCGAGAUUUUCGAUUAGAGGACUGCACAGGAAGAUCAGCGAGUCCACAUCUUUGAUAUAGAACAUUUGUCCCUUCAACAGGAUAGAUCGGAGGCCCACCGAAUGGCGUCUCUGUCCCGUGGCGGGAUCGAUUUCGUCCUUGGAGGUGGCUGCCGCUGCUGCCUCUUCCUUGGCGUUCUCCGCACUAAACUCCUUGGCACUGGCCAAAGCCAUGGCCUGCGCCUCGUUCAGGCUGCUGGCUUCAUCAAAGUUUUCAAAGUCAAAGUUCAAGGCCGCAUCAUAGGCGGCACGAUUGUGACCCGUACGGAUGAGCUCAAACUCGAAGAGAACUGUACGCAUUUGCAGAAUGGUCUCCCAUUGGAUCUGAGUGUCCUUGGGACGACGGCACUUGAACCGCUCCAAUAUGUGACUGCCAAUAAAGGUCUUUGGGUUCACUCCAGGAUUAUGCAGAAUCCACGUCUCGACAAUCUUCUCGCCCGCAAGUGUGAUUUUCAUGUCGUGAUCCAGCACAAUGGUGAAGGGAAACAGCUCGAGGAACACAUUCAGGUCCACCGACGGCAUCUUCAGCUGCGAAGGAUGCGCGAUGACAUUGACCCGCUUGGCCAUAUAAUCGCGAUUAUCGAAGUCCAGCCGAUACUUGACAAUCACGGUCAGAGGACCCUCCGUAAGCUUGAUGGGACCGGCUGUGCCACCGCAUAUGUCAUUUUGGCUCUCCAGGACAUAGGCAGUCAUGUCUAGGCCGUAGAACUCCUUGGCCACCUCGGUCAUCUGGCCAAUCAGGUACUUGGACAUGCCAGUUCGGCCGCUGCGGUACAGGAUCACAGCCCCAUCGUCAUCCAUGUUGGUCAACUGCAUGCUGGGCGACUUCAUCUUGGGAUAGGUGAAACGCAUCUGCACGUGAAUGUUGUCGAUGGACUGCAGGAAGUCGCAGAAGUAUCGCCCUGUGGAGCGGAUCAUCUUGUCGUAGCCGAAGUUGCUGAAGAAUCGCACAAAACAGCGCCCGAAGAAGUUCAUGCAGAAGUCGAAGGACUCGCCCGUGCUGGCGGACAGGGCUGCCGCAAAGUCCGGCAUCAGCUUGUCCGGAUAGAUCUGAUGUGUCUUGAAGCUCUGAUGCUUGCAGUCGACAAUCUGGCAGACCUUUCGCCAGGUCUCCAUGCCAUACUCCUGCUGGAUAUAGUGCUGCACGCUCUCGUACAGCAUUCCGUACAUGAUGGGGCAGGAUGUGAAUGUCCUUGGUCCUGUGAAGUCCUGCCUAUCGUCGAAAUUGCCUUCGUAAAAGUUUAUCCUGUAACGAAACAAAGUUGGCAGUCACAUAUUUAGGGGUGUGGUUAGCCAAAGUUUUUCCAUCGCUCUGAGCUGGUAAUUAGGUAAACUGUGUUCGUACCCCGGAGGAUUUAGGACAAUUUCGUUGCGUUGGGUCAGGGAUUAGGCCAACAAACUCGUACACAACUUAAGUGAUUGGUAGUAGGCUAGGAUGCUACAUAAAAAAGUCUUGCGCUGAUAUAGUCUUGAGUAACUACUUAGAGUGAAAAUUAAAUUGUAUUCAGUCGCUGUUCUUAUGCGUGAAAUCUGUUUCCUAUUUUUAGAGACAUGCAUUUAAAAUCCAUUAAACACGUAAUUAAUGUAAGGUGACAUACAUUUGGUGUAUGUUUAAGCCGUCAGAGUAUAUCCUCUUAUCUAGCCUUCAAAAACACCCAAUGCUUUUCCUCCGUAGCAUUUGAUUUAUUGCCCCGACAGUUUAAUUUGAGUUCAUGUGGCAGACACGCGGUGGAAAUCCUCCUAUUUCCCACAUCAAGGUCUUUCAAAUCUGUCACGUUCUUCGCGAAAGGAACAUAGCUCAUUGUGCUCAACUUAUUUCCGUUUCCUAUUGCCGGUAAUUCGCUGGUGGCAACGCCAGUUUUUCAUUUUUUUUCUACUCAGACUAACUAACUGAGCCACAAAUUCUCGAACAUCUUUCCUGAGUUUAGUGUAUUUAAUUUUGACAAAAAACAUGCAAAUUUCCGACAAGCCGAAGGUCGUAAAAAGUGGAUAAAAAUGCUGUUUCAAAAUGCUAACGUUUGAUUAAUGGUCAGGGAAUCCACGUAGUCAAAAAGAACAUAAAGGCAAUGCUUAACUUCUGCUCCUUUAUACUCAAGUUAACAAUACGUAGAUUUAAUCGCUCGUAAUUUAUGGUAGCUUGAAAGUGGCAGGGAGAACCCUAAUCUAUAUAAAUUGAUAAAUAAUGGAUUGGAUGCUAAAGUUAAAUGGACUAUAGUGUAAUAAUUUGUGGCCAACUCAGUUGCAACUUUAACUUUAAGUUUUAACUUAAAUGAUGUAGUUCCUCUGCUUCUCAUAUUGCUUCCUAAUCCUUUAAAGAACUGCCUUCUUAAGGAUGUAUGAAAAUCCCCUUAUUUCUCUCGAUAUAUCUCUUUGAUUAGUGAACCGUGAAAUUAGCUUAUUAUAUCCCCAGCAAUCCCUGCUACCUUAUAUUGCUUUCCGGCUCGUUCCAAUCCACUAGAUGAAUCGCAUGAAGUUCUCCAGCAUCGGAGCCGCUUGUCGUUUGUCUGUGCCUCAGAAAGAGUUUUAAUUAUAUCCACGCGGCAUUUGCCAGUCGCUUAUUUAUAAUUUAAGGAAGGCAUAUACGCCUGCACACGCACAGCAUCCCCGGAUGCGUAAAGUCGGGGUACAUAUAUAUACGCGCACUCCACGGCAAACUCUCACUUUUCCGUACUCCGUGUUGCGUCGUCGGCAGUUGCUAUUGUUACACUAAAUUUGUUUUGCCGCCUGUCGCUGCUUCCUUGGCUUCUGGCUGCCUGAUUUGCUUUUGCUUCAUGAUUUCCUCUGACAGACGAGCUUCGUGAGUCUGUCGGCUCUUUCGCAUCCGUCGGUUCCGUCGGUACCGUCGGUUUCCCCUGGAGCUUUCCCUUUUCGCCGGGACGAUGUCGGUCGACUGAAGCGUGCCCCUGUGGCGGUCAGGCCUUUUAUAGCCCACCCACUAGCCAAGUUGCAGUUGGAGCUGUAUUUCCGGCCCACUUAGGACCUACGUGCCUGCGCUUCGACACGCACUUCUCUGUUUGACCAUCGUGAUCAUCAUCGGCAGUCAAUGCUCUUUGCCACAAUUGCCACUUUGUCUCCUUCCGAAACAGUAAAACAUUGUCACACAACCGAAGGAGUCAUUUUUCUCCCCGUUCAUUUCCUUUUAUGGGCUCACUCCCCCACAUCGAUGUACAUAUAUAUGUGUGCGGUGUCCUGGGAAAGUAUUGUCCUUUGGGUCUUUACCAGGGCUGAAUAACACCUAGUAAUAGACUGACGACUAGGUUAGUCAGUUAUAAUAGAUAUGUGGCUUAUACAAAUGUUAAAAUUUCAAACUUUUAGUUUCCUUUAGAUAAUUUCUUUCCAAUUGUAUUCUCUGUAUAAAACGCUGUUCUAAUUUUCUGAACCAUUUCUUACAAUUUAGAAAUACUCGAGUACUUUGAAUGUAUAUCCCAAGCCCUGAAGUAUCGAAAACCGUCUGUCAAAUGUAUCAUUGUAACAGAGUUUUUCGCUUUGGCCGUUUGCCAUUUCCCCGAUGGAGGAAUGGUUUUGUGGCUCUGUGCUUAAUGCUUUUCCAUUUUCACGCAGUUAUAUAUACAAAAAGAUGUACAUACACAUGUUAGCCUGAAUCCUGCACAUAUUUGAUGUGUUGUUUUAAAGCAAUUUAAAAGGGAUUUCACAGCAUCGAACAAAAAGCCUUUGUCCCACUUAAACGAAACGGAUUUUAGGGCUAGUCUAUUAAAUAAACGUUGACAAUUUUAUGGACAGACCAUUAUUCGACUAAGAGGACGAUAAUAUGCCCGGCUGAAUAAAAGAAGGAGAUACUUCUACCACUCAAAAAGCCAUCAAUUACAGAUGCGACAGGCACGCGUUGCAUAACUACAAAAAUAUUAUAUUUAUGUACAUUGGGUCCCGAAGAAAAUAACUCAAUAUAAUCAAACAAAAACAGCUCUUAACGGAGUAAAAACUAAUGACGAUGGCCCUCAACACACAAAAGUUCUGAUAUCAACUUUUGUGACAAAAAAUAUUUUUUUAUUAAACUAAGAAAAUACAAGAAUAUUUUCAAAAUUCUUAUUUUUAUUUUUUUUUAACCAUUUUCAAAGUCUUAUUAUUUGUUCAGUGUAGUUAUUUUCAAUAUUGCACCGGAAUUAAGUGUCCAACGUCCAGGCGUUCGAGCUAAGGACACGCAGAGUGACUUAAUUUAAUUUAUAUAAGAAAGAGGCGAACGGAGGUUACUGUAUGUUUGAAUGGGCUUACGAUGGUCCGUCGUGGGUUGGAGAUGAUGGUGUGCAAAGUGACACGCAAACCGCCCAUAAAAGUUAUUAAAAAUGGAUUUUCCGAAAUGAGGGUUGUCUGCGGGAAAUGGCAGGAGUUGGUAAUUGAAAAGGCAGGAUGGAGGAUAUUAUAAGAACUUGAGCUUAUAAAGGGUGUAUUCAAUAAGAGUCUAUUGUCUACAUAGAUAGCUGGUAUUAUUAAACAAAUUAAGUUUGUCCCAAAACCAGCAGGAAAUAGGUAUUAUUUAUACUUUCACAAAAAGUCAGAGGAGCAGAGCUAAAUUCUCUUUUAUUGCAACAAAUUAAGAGAGCCACAGGUGCCGUACAAUCAGAACAUGGUGCUAUAAAUAAAGAUACAUUUAAUAUUUUUCUAUUCCUAGCCCUCGGGACCCUCCAGCAGCCAGUAGGUCUCCAUGUCGCCCUUGCCUUUGACCUGGACCGUACCACGCGACUCCACUUUGUAGCCCACUUGGCGCACUUUAUCGCCGGUGUACUUCGAUAGCUGGAUCUUCCAGGGAUCACUGCUGCUCUCCAUUCGCGAGGCGGUGUUAACGGUGUCCCCAAACAGACAGUAUCGAGGAACCUUUUGGCCCACAACGCCAGCCACCACAGGUCCCGAAUUGAUGCCAACUCGAAUAGCCACGUCCCCCAUAUCGUGAGCCUUGAACUUUUUCAUCACCCUUAAGGCCAAAUCGCAGGCGUGUUCGGCGUGCAGGGGAUUCACAUCAGGAGCACCCGAAACAGCCAUGUAAACCAUGCCCACGGUCUCCACUUUGUAAACGAAUGGGGAAAUGAUCUCCUCAUCCAGAGCGGAAAAUACUUUGUUCAAAGUGUUCACCGUCUGCAUAGCUCCCUGAAUGCUGUUCAAUCCUUCAUCAUAGACGUUCAUCACCUCGAGGAAGAUGACGGACACUUCCUCGAAACUCUGGCAAACCUGUUCUUCGCUGAGUCGCAUUCUUUCGGCAAUGGGCCGCGGAAUCAUGGAGUAGAGCAGCUCAUCCCCCUGCCGCUUCCAGGAAUCUGCCAGCUCCAGCGAUUUUUCCAGCUCAUCCGAUCGCUGCUCCUCCUUUUCAAACAUGAUCUCCAGCUUGGAGCAGUGCUGCCAUCCCGCCAUCACAAGCUCUCUACUCAGUCCAUGUGGAUUAAGAUCGUUCAAAUAGAGACCGAUUCCAUGCAGCUCAUCGAGAUUUUCGAUUAGAGGACUGCACAGGAAGAUCAGCGAGUCCACAUCUUUGAUGUAGAACAUCUGUCCCUUCAAAAGGAUGGACCUCAAGCCCUGGGAAGAUCGACGUUCCCCAGUGGCAGGGUCGAUCUCAUCCUCUCUCGCAGAUUCAUCAUCAUCCACCGGAUGGGAUUCACUGAACUCCUGAGCCUUGGCCAGCGCCAUAGUUUGGGCUUCGUUUAAGUCCAUCUCGUCAUAGUUCUCAAAGUCCAUGUUUAAGACAGCAUCGUAGGCAGCGCGAUUGUGACCCGUGCGAAUCAACUCGAACUCAAAGAGCACGGCUCUCAUCUGGAUCAGGGUAUCCCAGUCGAUAGUGGUGUCUUUCGGACGACGGCAUUGGAACAAGUCCAUUACGUGGGUGCCAAUGAAGCUCUUUGGAUUGGCCCCUGGAUUGUGCAUAAUCCAGGUCUCAACGAUCUUCUCACCAGCAUGCGUGAUCUUCAUGUCGUGGUUCAGCACAAAUGUGAAGGGAAAAAGAUCGAGGAACACAUCCAGUUUCACGGUGGGCAUUUUGAGCUGUGAGGGAUGGGCCUCCGUAUUGACGCGCUUGGCCAUGUACUCCCGGUUAUCAAAGUCCAGACGAUACUUCACAAUCACGGUCAAGGGACCAUCCGUGAGCUUGAUGGGACCAGCAGUGCCUCCACUGAUGUCAUUCUGGCUCUCGAUCACGUAAGCCUUGAUCUCCAGGCCGUAAAACUCGCGGGCCACCUCGGUCAUCUGCCCAAUUAGGUACUUGGACAUUCCAGUGCGACUGCUUCUGUAUAGGAUCACAGCUCCGUUAUCAUCCAUAUUGGUCAACUGCAUGCUGGGCGACUUCAUCUUGGGAUAGGUGAAACGCAUAAUCAAGUGAAUGUUGUCGAUGGACUGCAGGAAGUCGCAGAAGUAUCGCCCGGUGGAGCGGAUCAUCUUGUCGUAGCCGAAGUUGCUGAAGAAUCGCACAAAACAGCGCCCGAAGAAGUUCAUGCAGAAGUCGAAGGACUCGCCCGUGCAGGCGGACAAAGCCUCGGCGAUAUCCGGCAUCAGCUUGUCCGGAUAGAUCUGGUGCGUCUUGAAGCUAUUGUGCUUGCAGUCGAUGAUGUGACACACCUUCCGCCAAAUGUCCACGCCAUACUCCUCCUGCACGUAGUGCUGCACACUCUCAUACAGCAUUCCAUACAUGGUUUAUGUUUCUGAAAAAAUGGAAAACAAUGGACGAUUAAAUGUAUAACAAGAAAACAUGAUAAAACAAUAAAAACAACGAGAUACAUUGUCUCAAUUUAUUGUUCGAUUGUUCCUUUAUAAGAAGUUAUAUAUUAUAAG
Drosophila melanogaster (fruit fly) is the source of this 7622-nucleotide non-coding RNA. NCBI's taxonomy places the organism in Eukaryota, Metazoa, Arthropoda, Insecta, Diptera, Drosophilidae. The record is from Ensembl.